This 338-nucleotide non-coding RNA is filed under the name Mus musculus (house mouse). Lineage: Eukaryota; Metazoa; Chordata; Mammalia; Rodentia; Muridae. The record is from RNAcentral.
GAGGACCGUAUUCAUGGAAGAGGAUUGAACAGACUACUGAGUUCUUAAGAGAAAAAUGGCACUUAAGAAAUUGAUGGUGAUAUCAAAGGAAGGUUACUUAUUACUCUUGGACUUUGAUGAUGAGGACGAUGACAUAAAAGUUUCAGAGGAGGCUCUUGCGGAAGUAAAGAGCCCAGGAUUUGAUAAAAAUGAGAAUAUAUCGCCUCAAGCAGAAGCAGAUGAAUAUAUGGGAGAUGAAGUAGACAGUAUGUUGGAUAAAUCUGGAGCUGCAUCAUUGGACUGAAAGUGAAUGGCCCAUGUGUUGCCACUGAUGUGAGCCAUUUGCCUGUUGUGCUUCA